This 1027-nucleotide long non-coding RNA is filed under the name Heterocephalus glaber (naked mole-rat). Its description in RNAcentral is "lncRNA (ENSHGLG00000034252.1)". Lineage: Eukaryota; Metazoa; Chordata; Mammalia; Rodentia; Bathyergidae. The record is from RNAcentral.
GAUGUGCCCUCUGCAGGGGAGAGAGUGUCACAUGAGUUCUCUCAGCCAACCACACUUAUCCCAGCCCAAGUGCCAGUGUGGACAUUGACCAGCCUGCAGCCACGGCCUCGGAGGCACUUCCGCUGGUGAGAGGGGCACUCCGGGUGCCACAUCAGGGCCCCACCAGGUUAUAGCCCUGCUCAUGGACUUUGUCUGGUCUAACCCAGAGAGAAAAACAACCUUGCAGACCCCACCCUCAUCCAGGCUGCACCCGACCCAACUGUGUUCCCAGCAGAAGUUUGCACAUUGCGAUUUCUCCAUUACACUACAUCCAGAUGACUCUUCUGGUGCAGCCCAACCACUGGGGAUCAGACCGGAGAGCCCUAACUGUGAUUUCCAACAUGAUGUGCUAGGAAAUAGAUUGCGUAUGGCCACACAAUGGAAAACUACUCAGCUAUGCCAGAUGUAACCAUGUGUAACCACGUGCAUCAUGUUGAAUGAGAGAAGCCAGACACAACAGAGAAUACUAUAAGACACUCUUUACACGAAAUUUGAAAACAGGUAAAACUCACCAGUGUUCUUGGUGAUGGUCAGUAUGGUGGUCAUCCUGGGGUGGGUAAGAAGGGCUGGCUAAGAGGCUGGCCACACUCUGGUUUUAAUCAGGAUAUGUAGGCAGCUUCAUUAGCUGGAAAUUCAUCAAGCUGGGAUUUACAUGCUUUUCUGUAUGCAUGUUAUCUUCUAAAAAAAGGUUUGUUCUGGACAGAAACUUCCUCCUAGAUCCCAAGCUCACUCUGGAUUCAGUGCCAUUGAGGAAUUUGUAGUUUUAACCAAUUACCUGUCACCAAAAUGACCUAUUCCACUGUUCCCCAGGAUUUCAUUCUUACCCAGAUGCUGAGGACUUUCAGUUCUAUAUCUUUAUUUUUAAUAGUCUCUUCCCAUCUCACUCAACUCCCAAGCAUUUUGCAGCAGCUAUUGGCGUGAUUAAUGAGAAAGGCAGUGAUUUUUUUCCUUCCUGAAUUGUGUGGAGUCAAGGGGGAGGAAAUAGACA